GGAAUAUUGGACAAUGGGCGCAAGCCUGAUCCAGCCAUGCCGCGUGUGUGAAGAAGGCCUUCGGGUUGUAAAGCACGUUUGUCCGGAAAGAAAUCCUGUCGGUUAAUACCCGGGUGAGAUGACUGUACCGGAAGAAUAAACACCGUCUAACGUCGUGCCAGCAGCCGCGGUAAUACGAAGGGUGCAAGCGUUACUCGGAAUUACUGGGCGUAAAGCGUGCGUAGGUGGUGAGUUAAGUCUGUCGUGAAAGCCCCGGGCUCAACCUGGGAAUGGCGAUGGAUACUGGCUCGCUAGAGUGCGGUAGAGGAGAGUGGAAUUCCCGGUGUAGCAGUGAAAUGCGUAGAGAUCGGGAGGAACAUCAGUUGCGAAGGCGGCUCUCUGGACCAGCACUGACACUGAGGCACGAAAGCGUGGGGAGCAAA
This 422-nucleotide ribosomal RNA is filed under the name uncultured bacterium. RNAcentral's name for it is "bacterial SSU rRNA". It matches the Rfam family "Bacterial small subunit ribosomal RNA", at positions 358 to 772 of the family's 1533-position model. The record is from RNAcentral.